AGAAUCAACGCUGGCGGCGUGCCUCAGACAUGCAAGUCGAACGCGAAAGUCCCCUUCGGGGGGCAAGUAGAGUGGCGCACGGGUGAGUAACACGUAGGUAAUCUACCUUCGGGUGGGGAAUAACAACCGGAAACGGUUGCUAAUACCGCAUAAUGCAGCGGCACCUAAUGGUGACAGUCGUUAAAGCGGGGGAUCGCAAGAUCUCGCGCCUGAAGAGGAGCCUGCGGCGGAUUAGCUAGUUGGUAGGGUAACGGCUUACCAAGGCGACGAUCCGUA
Molecule: ribosomal RNA, 276 nt
Filed under: uncultured soil bacterium
Lineage: Bacteria
Description: partial 16S ribosomal RNA
Rfam family: Bacterial small subunit ribosomal RNA
Source: RNAcentral